AUUGAACGCUGGCGGCAGGCCUAACACAUGCAAGUCGAACGAGUGGCGGACGGGUGAGUAAUGUCUGGGAAACUGCCUGAUGGAGGGGGAUAACUACUGGAAACGGUAGCUAAUACCGCAUACCAUCAGAUGUGCCCAGAUGGGAUUCGCUAGUGGGUGGGGUAACGGCGCACCAAGGCGCCGAUCCCUAGCUGGUCUGAGCGGAGGACCAGCAACACUGGAACUGAGAGACGGUCCAGACGCCUACGGGAGGCAGCAGUGGGGAAUAUUGCACAAUGGGCGAAAGCCUGAUGCAGCCAUGCCGCGUGUAUGAAGAAGGCCGUCGGGUUGUAAAGUACUUUCAGCGGGGAGGCGUUACCCGAAGAAGAAGCACCGGCUAACUCCGUGCCAGCAGCCGCGGUAAUUC
This 406-nucleotide ribosomal RNA is filed under the name uncultured bacterium. RNAcentral's name for it is "partial 16S ribosomal RNA". It matches the Rfam family "Bacterial small subunit ribosomal RNA", at positions 29 to 526 of the family's 1533-position model. The record is from RNAcentral.